This 624-nucleotide unclassified non-coding RNA is filed under the name Hevea brasiliensis (rubber tree). The record is from RNAcentral. Lineage: Eukaryota; Viridiplantae; Streptophyta; Magnoliopsida; Malpighiales; Euphorbiaceae.
GGCACAUCCAGAGAGAUCAGGCUUUGAUGGUCCAUGGACAAAGGAGCCACUGAAAUUUGACAAUUCAUAUUUUGUGGAGCUGCUUAAGGGGGAAAGCGAGGGAUUACUGAAACUUCCCACAGACAUUGUUUUAUUGGAUGAUCCUGAGUUCAGACAUUAUGUUGAGCUGUAUGCUAAGGAUGAAGAUGCCUUCUUUAGGGAUUACGCCAUAUCACACAAGAAGCUGUCUGAGCUAGGGUUUACCCCAAGUUCUGGUUCCAAGGCUACGGUGAGGGAUGGUACUAUUUUAGCACAGAGUGCUGUAGGUGUUGUUGUGGCUGCUGCAGUGGUGGCACUGAGUUAUUGGUAUGAAGUGCGGAAAAGGAUGAAGUAAAUUGCAGCAGGACUGGUUGCAUUCUUACUUGCAUAUUAUUCACCAAUCUCGUACCCGUUAUUGAUUAAGCGUACCUAUUCUCUUCCCCCAAAUAAAAACAUGUAAUGUCGACUAUACAAAAAUAUAGUAACGAAUUGGUUGUACCCGUGUUUAUAUUUGAUACCCAUACUUUUGGAAGGGUUUUGAUUUCUAUCUGCGUUGGCUAUCGUAUCAGAUGAUUUUUGCGUUAGGAAUUUGACAUAGAAAGGUUG